UGCCAGCCGCCGCGGUAAUACGGGGGGGGCUAGCGUUGUUCGGAAUUACUGGGCGUAAAGCGCACGUAGGCGGACUAUUAAGUCAGGGGUGAAAUCCCACGGCUCAACCGUGGAACUGCAUAAUGAACUGCGAGUCUUGAGGUCGGUAGAGGUUGUCGGAACUCUAGGUGGAGCGGUGAAAUGCGUAGAUAUCUAGAGGAACGCCUAAGGUGAAGACAGGCAACUGGGCCGAUCCUGACGCUGAGGCACGAAAGCGUGGGUAGCGAACGGGAUUAGAUA
This 279-nucleotide ribosomal RNA is filed under the name uncultured bacterium. RNAcentral describes it as "partial 16S ribosomal RNA". It matches the Rfam family "Bacterial small subunit ribosomal RNA", at positions 506 to 784 of the family's 1533-position model. The record is from RNAcentral.